This 233-nucleotide ribosomal RNA is filed under the name uncultured bacterium. RNAcentral's name for it is "partial 16S ribosomal RNA". It matches the Rfam family "Bacterial small subunit ribosomal RNA", at positions 523 to 755 of the family's 1533-position model. The record is from RNAcentral.
AUACGUAGGUGGCGAGCGUUGUCCGGAAUUACUGGGCGUAAAGGGUGCGUAGGCGGAUAUUUAAGUCAGAUGUGAAAUUCCCGGGCUCAACCUGGGAAGUGCAUUUGAAACUGGGUAUCUAGAGUGCAGGAGAGGUAAGUGGAAUUCCUAGUGUAGCGGUGAAAUGCAUAGAUAUUAGGAGGAACACCAGUGGCGAAGGCGACUUACUGGACUGUAACUGACGCUGAAGCACG